This 553-nucleotide ribosomal RNA is filed under the name uncultured bacterium. Its description in RNAcentral is "bacterial SSU rRNA". It matches the Rfam family "Bacterial small subunit ribosomal RNA", at positions 777 to 1329 of the family's 1533-position model. The record is from RNAcentral.
AAUAGAUACCCGGGUAGUCCACGCCGUAAACGAUGAGUGCUAAGUGUUAGGGGGUUUCCGCCCCUUAGUGCUGCAGCUAACGCAUUAAGCACUCCGCCUGGGGAGUACGGUCGCAAGACUGAAACUCAAAGGAAUUAACGGGGGCCCGCACAAGCGGUGGAGCAUGUGGUUUAAUUCGAAGCAACGCGAAGAACCUUACCAGGUCUUGACAUCCCGGUGACUGCUGUAGAGAUACAGUUUUCCCUUCGGGGACAACGGUGACAGGUGGUGCAUGGUUGUCGUCAGCUCGUGUCGUGAGAUGUUGGGUUAAGUCCCGCAACGAGCGCAACCCUUGUUCUUAGUUGCCAUCAUUUAGUUGGGCACUCUAAGGAGACUGCCGGUGAUAAACCGGAGGAAGGUGGGGAUGACGUCAAAUCAUCAUGCCCCUUAUGACCUGGGCUACACACGUGCUACAAUGGACGGUACAAACGGUUGCCAACCCGCGAGGGGGAGCUAAUCCGAUAAAACCGUUCUCAGUUCGGAUUGUAGGCUGCAACUCGCUACAUGAAGCCGG